GAUGAACGCUGGCGGCGUGCCUAAUACAUGCAAGUCGAGCGAAAAGACGAGGAGCUUGCUCCUCUGACGUUAGCGGCAGACGGGUGAGUAACACGUGGAAAACCUACCUAUAAGACUGGGAUCACUUCGGGAAACCGGAGCUAAUCCCGGAGAAUAUAUUGAACCGCAUGGUUCAAUAGUGAAAUACGGUUGUGUGGGCAGUUGUAGAUGGAUGGGCGCCUUAUUAGCUUGUUGGUAAGGUACCGGUAUACCAAGGGAACGGCGGGUAGCCGACCUGAGAGGGGGACCGGCCACAUUGGGACUGAGAUACGGCCCAGACGGCAACGGGACGCAACAGUGGGGAACCUUGCACAACGGGCGGAAGCCAGAUGCGGAGGCGUCGCGUGCGGAAUACUGGGUUUUGGGUUAUAAACAGAUUUCGACUGUACCAAACAGGGCGUGACGGUAAUGGGUCAGGAAGCACCGGCUAACUACGUG
Molecule: ribosomal RNA, 477 nt
Filed under: uncultured bacterium
Lineage: Bacteria
Description: partial 16S ribosomal RNA
Rfam family: Bacterial small subunit ribosomal RNA
Source: RNAcentral